This 1064-nucleotide ribosomal RNA is filed under the name Candidatus Roizmanbacteria bacterium. RNAcentral describes it as "bacterial SSU rRNA". It matches the Rfam family "Bacterial small subunit ribosomal RNA", at positions 463 to 1533 of the family's 1533-position model. The record is from RNAcentral. Lineage: Bacteria; Candidatus Roizmaniibacteriota.
AAACAAAUGACGGUACCCUACUAGAAAGGAGCCGCUAACUGCGUGCCAGAAGCGUCGGUAAUACGUGGGCUUCAAGCAUUAUCCGGUCUUAUUGGGCGUAAAGGGUCGUGUAGGCGGUUUGGUAAGUUGUCUUUUAAAUCUCCACGCUUAACGUGAACAUUGAGACAAUACUGUCAAACUAGAGUUUUCUUAAGGGUGAUUGGAACUUAGGGAGGAGUAGUGAAAUGCGUUGAUACCCUAGGGAACACCAGUGGCGAAGGCGAAUCACUGGAAGGAAACUGACGCUGAGACACGAAAGCUAGGGGAGCGAAGCAGAUUAGAGACCUGCGUAGUCCUAGCCCUAAACGAAUGUCUGCUAGCUGCAUUCUUAUAUCGUUUUACGAUAUUUGGGUGUGGCGAAGGUAACCCGUUAAGCAGACCGCCUGGGGAUUACGGUCGCAAGGCUAAAACUCAAAGGAAUUGGCGGGGAGGCACACAACCAGUGGAACAUGUGGUUCAAUUCGAGACGAACCGAAGAACCUCACCAGGGUUUGACAUGCUAGCGUUCUAUUUCCUGGAAACAGGAGAAAUCCGUAAGGAGGUUAGCACAGGUGCUGCAUGGCUGUCGUCAGCUCGUUCCGUGAGGAGUGCCCUUAAGUGGGACAACGAGCGCAACCCCUAUCUUGUGUUAGAAAUGUCACAAGAGACUGCUUCGAUAUAUAUCGGGGAGGAAGGAGGGGCAGACGUCAAGUCAGCAUGGUCCUUAUACCCUGGGCUACACACAUGUUACAAUGGAUAAUAACAAUGAGUCUUGCAAAACGGCAACGUCAAGCAAAUCUCAGAAAUUUAUUCUCAGUUGGGAUUGGGGUCUGCAACUCGACCCCAUGAACACGGAAUUGGUAGUAAUCGCGGGUCAGCUAUACCGCGGUGAAUACGUUCUUGCCUCUUGCACACACCGCCCGUCAAGCCAACAAAGUCGGAAAUAUUUGAACUCGCCGUAUGGCGAGGAGGAUACUUUCGGCGAUGAGGGUUAAGUCGUAACAAGGUAUCCGUUCUGGAAGGAGCGGAUGGAUCACCUCCUUUCU